RNAcentral lists this ribosomal RNA (403 nucleotides) under uncultured bacterium. Its description in RNAcentral is "partial 16S ribosomal RNA". It matches the Rfam family "Bacterial small subunit ribosomal RNA", at positions 30 to 526 of the family's 1533-position model. The record is from RNAcentral.
AUUGAACGCUGGCGGCAGGCCUAACACAUGCAAGUCGAGCGAGCGGCGGACGGGUGAGUAAUGUAUGGGGACUGCCCGAUAGAGGGGGAUAACUACUGGAAACGGUGGCUAAUACCGCAUACUAUCGGAUAACCCAUAUGGGAUUAGCUAGUAGGUGGGGUAAAGGCUCACCUAGGCGACGAUCUCUAGCUGGUCUGAGAGGAUGAGUAGCCACACUUGGACCGAGAGACGGCCCCGACUCCUAGGGAGGGAGCAGUGGGGAAUAUUGGACCAUGGGCGCAAGCCUGAUGCCGCCAUGCCGCGUGUAUGAAGGAGGCCGUCGGGUUUUAAAGGUCUUUCCGUCGGGAGGCGUUACCGACAGAAGAAGCACCGGCUAACUCCGUGCCAGCAGCCGCGGUAAUAC